GGGUCUAUAUAUAAUUUGGAAAUAGUUUUGCACAUAAGAAUGCGUAGUAAUGUUAUUUCUAAUAGAGUAAAUUACACUCACCAUAGGACAAGUAUCUAAGUGGGUGCAUGUUAGUCCAACAUCUUGUAAUUUAUCCAAUUUAAAACAACAGCAAUAUAGGUGGGUGCAUAUUGAUCGACAAUCUUCUCAUAAGUUUAAUUUGAUACAAGAACUUGCUUAUUCGUGCAUAUACGGUCC
Molecule: long non-coding RNA, 237 nt
Filed under: Sorghum bicolor (sorghum)
Lineage: Eukaryota; Viridiplantae; Streptophyta; Magnoliopsida; Poales; Poaceae
Description: long non-coding RNA (SBIC_LNC007755)
Source: RNAcentral